ACAUAAAUUUAGUGAAGGGUUGUAGUUUUAUGGUCAAUUGAGUAUGAUGGAAGCUCAUUUAGUUUGAUAACACAAGAGCAACUGGAUCUUUGAUACACUUCUGAGAACUGCUACUAGCAAUUCUUGCUCACUGAUGAAACAUGUGGUCAUGAACAGAUUAAUAAACCAGCUAAUCAGGAGAAAGUAAUGGCAGCCAGUCCAUGUGUCAUCAACAUACCGUGAAUGGCAUUCACAGCAAACGCUAGACAGCCAUGGAUAACUUUUCUGAUUCACUUGUGAUCUCACUGUCAUCGUUCCUGAAGCAAAAGCAUU
RNAcentral lists this long non-coding RNA (312 nucleotides) under Solanum tuberosum (potato). RNAcentral describes it as "long non-coding RNA (STUB_LNC004891)". Lineage: Eukaryota; Viridiplantae; Streptophyta; Magnoliopsida; Solanales; Solanaceae. The record is from RNAcentral.